RNAcentral lists this ribosomal RNA (429 nucleotides) under Gemmatimonadota bacterium. RNAcentral's name for it is "Gemmatimonadetes bacterium partial 16S ribosomal RNA". It matches the Rfam family "Bacterial small subunit ribosomal RNA", at positions 355 to 776 of the family's 1533-position model. Lineage: Bacteria; Pseudomonadati; Gemmatimonadota. The record is from RNAcentral.
UAGGGAAUCUUCGGCAAUGGACGAAAGUCUGACCGAGCAACGCCGCGUGCGUGAAGAAGGCUUUCGGAUCGUAAAACUCUGUUGUUAGAGAAGAACAAGGACGUUAGUAACUGAACGUCCCCUGACGGUAUCUAACCAGAACGCCACGGCUAACUACGUGCCAGCAGCCGCGGUCAUACGUAGGUGGCACGCGUUGUCCGGAUUUAUUGGGCGUAAAGCGAGCGCAGGCGGUUUCUUAAGUCUGAUGUGAAAGCCCCCGGCUCAACCGGAGAGGGUCAUUGGAAACUGGGAGACUGGAGUGCAGAAGAGGGGAGUGGAAUUACAUGUGUAGCGGUGAAAUGCGUAGAUAUAUGGAGGAACACCAGUGGCGAAGGCGGCGCUCUGGUCUGUAACUGACGCUGAGGCUCGAAAGCGUGGGGAGCAAACAGG